This 482-nucleotide ribosomal RNA is filed under the name uncultured bacterium. RNAcentral describes it as "partial 16S ribosomal RNA". It matches the Rfam family "Bacterial small subunit ribosomal RNA", at positions 30 to 507 of the family's 1533-position model. The record is from RNAcentral.
AUUGAACGCUGGCGGCAUGCUUUACACAUGCAAGUCGAACGGUAACAGCACUUCGGUGGCUGACGAGUGGCGAACGGGUGAGUAAUACAUCGGAACGUGCCUAGUAGUGGGGGAUAACUACUCGAAAGAGUAGCUAAUACCGCAUGAGAUCUAAGGAUGAAAGCAGGGGACCUUCGGGCCUUGUGCUACUAGAGCGGCUGAUGGCAGAUUAGGUAGUUGGUGGGAUAAAAGCUUACCAAGCCGACGAUCUGUAGCUGGUCUGAGAGGACGACCAGCCACACUGGGACUGAGACACGGCCCAGACUCCUACGGGAGGCAGCAGUGGGGAAUUUUGGACAAUGGGCGCAAGCCUGAUCCAGCAAUGCCGCGUGCAGGAUGAAGGCCUUCGGGUUGUAAACUGCUUUUGUACGGAACGAAAAGCCCUCUUCUAAUACAGGAGGGUCAUGACGGUACCGUAAGAAUAAGCACCGGCUAACUACGUG